AACCCAUGUUGAGGGCACCUACUCAAUAAAUCCUUAUACCUCUCUCAUGCAUCAUAUAGGGUCUCUAAAUCAUUUUAUAUGAAGGAAGAGAUACCAUUCCUCAACUU
RNAcentral lists this small nucleolar RNA (107 nucleotides) under Gossypium hirsutum (cotton). Its description in RNAcentral is "Plant small nucleolar RNA R71". It matches the Rfam family "Plant small nucleolar RNA R71". From Rfam's summary of the family: R71 is a member of the C/D box family of snoRNAs containing the C (UGAUGA) and D (CUGA) box motifs. Multiple nearly identical copies of this snoRNA have been identified in Arabidopsis, and it is thought to function as a 2'-O-ribose methylation guide for 18S ribosomal RNA. Lineage: Eukaryota; Viridiplantae; Streptophyta; Magnoliopsida; Malvales; Malvaceae. The record is from Rfam by way of RNAcentral.